This 213-nucleotide non-coding RNA is filed under the name Phocaeicola vulgatus. Lineage: Bacteria; Pseudomonadati; Bacteroidota; Bacteroidia; Bacteroidales; Bacteroidaceae. RNAcentral also lists the same sequence under 1 other name. The record is from RNAcentral.
UAUCUUUGUUCCCGAAUCGGUUCCGAAUAGAUGUCCUCUAUCCGGAUUAAAAGGGAAUCGGGUGUAAAUCCCGGACAGUCCCGCUGCUGUGAAACUCCGAUAAAAUUUCCGAUACGUACCUAUUGCCACUGCCUGACUCCACAUAACGAGAACGCGGGAAGGCAUCGGAAAUGAGGAGCCAGUCAGAAGACCUGCCAUUCAUCAAAGGCCGUU